GGGGUCGUGGAUUAGUGGAAUAUCGCUUCCUUGGCAUGGAAGAGAUCGGGGGUUCGAUCCCCCCCGACUCCA
This 72-nucleotide transfer RNA is filed under the name Promethearchaeota archaeon. Its description in RNAcentral is "Candidatus Lokiarchaeota archaeon (permafrost metagenome) tRNA-Ala". It matches the Rfam family "tRNA". From Rfam's summary of the family: Transfer RNA (tRNA) molecules are approximately 80 nucleotides in length. Their secondary structure includes four short double-helical elements and three loops (D, anti-codon, and T loops). Lineage: Archaea; Promethearchaeati; Promethearchaeota. The record is from RNAcentral.